This 72-nucleotide transfer RNA is filed under the name Phrynosoma platyrhinos (Desert horned lizard). RNAcentral's name for it is "tRNA-OTHER". The record is from RNAcentral. Lineage: Eukaryota; Metazoa; Chordata; Lepidosauria; Squamata; Phrynosomatidae.
GAAUGUGUGGCGUAGUGGUUUGAGUGUUGGACUAUGACUCUGGAGACCAGGGUUUGAUUCCCAGUUUAACCA